RNAcentral lists this ribosomal RNA (497 nucleotides) under uncultured bacterium. RNAcentral's name for it is "partial 16S ribosomal RNA". It matches the Rfam family "Bacterial small subunit ribosomal RNA", at positions 28 to 507 of the family's 1533-position model. The record is from RNAcentral.
GAUGAACGCUGGCGGCGUGCCUAAUACAUGCAAGUCGAGCGAACGGACGAGAAGCUUGCUUCUCUGAUGUUAGCGGCGGACGGGUGAGUAACACGUGGAUAACCUACCUAUAAGACUAGGAUAACUUCGGGAAACCGGAGCUAAUACCGGAUGAUAUUUUGAACCGCAUGGUUCAAAAGUGAAAGACGGUCUUGCUGUCACUUAUAGAUGGAUCCGCGCUGCAUUAGCUAGUUGGUAAGGUAACGGCUUACCAAGGCAACGAUGCAUAGCCGACCUGAGAGGGUGAUCGGCCACACUGGAACUGAGACACGGUCCAGACUCCUACGGGAGGCAGCAGUAGGGAAUCUUCCGCAAAGGGCGAAAGCCUGACGGAGCAACGCCGCGUGAGUGAUGAAGGUCUUCGGAUCGUAAAACUCUGUUAUUAGGGAAGAACAUAUGUGUAAGUAACUGUGCACAUCUUGACGGUACCUAAUCAGAAAGCCACGGCUAACUACGUG